Long non-coding RNA from Pleuronectes platessa (European plaice), 1320 nucleotides. RefSeq lists it as uncharacterized. Lineage: Eukaryota; Metazoa; Chordata; Actinopteri; Pleuronectiformes; Pleuronectidae. The record is from RefSeq and is a predicted model, not a curated record. The transcript has 4 exons.
CUGAAGAGCCUUUCCGGCACAAGGUGGUCUGCGAGAGCUGAUGCAACAAAAGCUCUGAGAUUUGGCUACAAAGCUAUUCAAGAUGCUUUGAAUGAAAUCAAAGUUGACCAUGGAACCCCCAGAGCUGCUCAAUAUGAGGCGUGUCAAUUAAUAACAGUGAUGGACACCCUUGAAACUGCAGUUAUGACAGUAGUGUGGGAUGACCUGCUGAGAAGAAUCAAUUUAACCAGCAAAGCAUUGCAGCAGGUACAAAUUGAUGUAUGUACUGUUCCUAUUCUGUACAGUUCACUCAUAGAGUUCAUAGGACAAGCCAGAAAUGAUUUUGAUGUCUAUGAAGCAGAGGCCAAAACCUUCACAGCAACAGAGGGAUACAAAGCAGAUAGCCAAAGAAGACGAGUGAAGAAAGUUUUGUUCGGUGAGUCUGCAGGUCCAGAGGUGCAGCGCUCAGGCCGUGAAGCAUUCCUGAUUGACUCACAUUAUGUCAUCUGUGACUGCUUGUCACAAGAAUUGAAACGACGCAAAGACGCAUACAAAAAUGUGGAGGAGAAAUUUGGUUUCCUUACUAAAACGAAAUCAAUGGACAUUGAACAAAUCCAUGCAGCCACAGAAAAGCUGAAGAAAAUAUACCCUCAGGAUCUUGAGGAGGACUUUACAGCAGAGUUUUGCCAGUUCAUCUCAAUGGUAAAAGAUGAAGAAUCAGUCAUGGCCAUGUACAAGAAGCUCCUAGAGCUAGGCUUGAGGGAUGCUUUCCCUAAUGUGGACAUUUGCCUUCGCAUGUAUCUGACAUUACCGAUUGCAAACUGUUCAGGAGAAAGAUCAUUUUCUUUGUUGAAACGAGUGAAAACAUACCGGAGAGCAACAGUAACAGAAAAAAAACUGAAUGCCUUUGCCCUGUUGGCAAUUGAGAAUGGAUUUACAACCUCCCUGGAUUUUGAAGACAUUAUCGAGGACUUCGCCUCAUCAAAACUUAGGAGAAAGCAUCUGUAAAGAUCGUGAUGAUGCUGUCAAGACGUGUUUCUGCUGCGAUGGAGGCCUGCGAUGCUGGAAGGCUGAAGAUUAUCCCUGAGUGGAGCAUGCUAAAUGGUUUCCUCAGUGUGAAUAUGGGCUCCAGGAGAAGGGACAAGAAUUUUUGUUCACCCAAUUCAGGCUCGUUUUCCUUGGCUGUCUGAGCAGAGUGCAGUCUAGUAAAGCACACCGUCCAGAGAAACAUCCAGACCAGUGGAGAGAACUGCUGAACAGUCCAGACCAGGAGCUGAGCUGCUGAGUGUUGAAUACCAGAAAAUGGAAGAGAGGUGAUGGUUGUCCAUGAAAAUAAACAUC